This 373-nucleotide ribosomal RNA is filed under the name uncultured organism. Its description in RNAcentral is "partial 16S ribosomal RNA". It matches the Rfam family "Bacterial small subunit ribosomal RNA", at positions 527 to 896 of the family's 1533-position model. The record is from RNAcentral.
GUAGGUGGCAAGCGUUGUCCGGAAUUAUUGGGCGUAAAGCGCGCGCAGGCGGUCCUUUAAGUCUGAUGUGAAAGCCCACGGCUCAACCGUGGAGGGUCAUUGGAAACUGGGGGACUUGAGUACAGAAGAGGAAAGCGGAAUUCCAAGUGUAGCGGUGAAAUGCGUAGAGAUUUGGAGGAACACCAGUGGCGAAGGCGGCUUUCUGGUCUGUAACUGACGCUGAGGCGCGAAAGCGUGGGGAGCAAACAGGAUUAGAUACCCUGGUAGUCCACGCCGUAAACGAUGAGUGCUAAGUGUUAGGGGGUUUCCCGCCCCCCUUAGUGCUGCAGCUAACGCAUUAAGCACUCCGCCUGGGGAGUACGGCCGCAGGCUG